AGAACGAACGCUGGCGGCAGGCUUAACACAUGCAAGUCGAACGCUCGUAGCAAUACGGGAGUGGCAGACGGGUGAGUAACGCGUGGGAACAUACCCUCCGGUUCGGAAUAGCUCAGGGAAACUUGGAUUAAUACCGGAUACGGCCGAGAGGCGAAAGAUUUAUCGCCGGAGGAUUGGCCCGCGUUCGAUUAGCUAGUUGGUGAGGUAACGGCUCACCAAGGCGAUGAUCGAUAGCUGGUCUGAGAGGAUGAUCAGCCACAUUGGGACUGAGACACGGCCCAGACUCCUACGGGAGGCAGCAGUGGGGAAUAUUGGACAAUGGGGGCAACCCUGAUCCAGCAAUGCCGCGUGAGUGAUGAAGGCCUUAGGGUUGUAAAGCUCUUUCGCCGCGACGAUGAUGACGGUAGCGGGAGAAGAAGCCCGGCUAACUCGUGCCAGCAGCCGC
RNAcentral lists this ribosomal RNA (445 nucleotides) under uncultured bacterium. RNAcentral describes it as "SSU rRNA". It matches the Rfam family "Bacterial small subunit ribosomal RNA", at positions 26 to 518 of the family's 1533-position model. The record is from RNAcentral.